Molecule: ribosomal RNA, 1465 nt
Filed under: uncultured Bordetella sp.
Lineage: Bacteria; Pseudomonadati; Pseudomonadota; Betaproteobacteria; Burkholderiales; Alcaligenaceae
Description: partial 16S-23S ribosomal RNA intergenic spacer
Rfam family: Bacterial small subunit ribosomal RNA
Source: RNAcentral
ACAACAGAGUUCGAUCAUGGCUCAGAUUGAAUCGCCAUGAUGCUUACGUAAGUCGAACGCAGCACGGACUUCGGUCUGGUGGCGAGUGGCAGAACGGGUGAUAAUGUAUCGGAACGUGCCUAGUAACGGGGAUAACUACGCGAAAGUGUAGCCAAUACCGCAUGCCCUUCGGGGGAAAGCGGGGGGACCUCGGCCUCGUACCAUUAGAGCGGCCGAUAUCGGAUUAGCUAGUUGGUGGGUAACGGCUCACCAAGGCGACGAUCCGUAGCUGGUUUGAGAGGACCAGCCACACUGGGACUGAGACACGGCCCAGACUCCUACGGAGGCAGCAGGGAAUUUUGGACAAUGGGAAACCUUAUCCAGCCAUCCCGCGUGUGCGAUGAAGGCCUCUUCUGCUGUAAAGCACUUUGGCAGGAAAGAAACGGCACGGGAUAAUACCCCGUGCAACUGACGGUACCUGCAGAAUAAGCACCGGCUAACUACGUGCCAGCAGCGCCGCGGUAAUACGUAGGGUGCAAGCGUUAAUCGGAAUUACUGGGCGCAGCGUGCAGGCGGUUCUGGCAAAGAAAGAUGUGAAAUCCCAGAGCUUAACUUUGGAACUGCAUUUUUAACUACCGAGAACAGAGGGUAGUUGCAGGGAGGUGGAAUUCCGCGUGUAGCAGUGAAUGCGUAGAUAUGCGGAGGAACACCGAUGGUGAAGGCAGCCUCCGGGAUAACACUGACGCUCAUGCACGAAAGCGGGAGCAAACAGGAUUAGAUACCCCGGUAGUCCACGCCCUAAACGAUGUCAACUAGCUGUUGGGGCCUCGGGCCUUGCAGCGCAGCUAACGCGUGAAGUUGACCGCCUGGGGAGUACGGGUCGCAAGAGGAUUAAAAACUCAAAGGAAUUGACGGGGACCUGCACAAGCGGUGAUGAGUGUGGAUUAAUUCGAUGCAACGCGAAAAACCUUACCUACCCUUGUCAUGUCUGGAAUCCGAAGAGAUUUGGGAGUGCUCGCAAGAGAACCGGAACACAGGUGCUGCAUGGCUGUCGUCAGCUCGUGUCGCAGAUGUUGGGUUAAGUCCCGCAACGAGCGCAACCCUUGUCAUUAGUUGCUACGAAAGGGCACUUAAUGAUUGCCGGUGGCAACCGGAGGAAGGUGGGGAUGACGUCAAGUCCUUCACGGUUCUUGCGGUAGGGCUUCACACGUCAUACAAUGGUCGGGACAGGGUCACAACCCGCGAGGGGGAGCUAAUCCCAGAAACCGAUCGAAAUCCGGAUCGUGAAGCUCGCAACUCGACUGUGAAGUCGGAAUCACGCUAGUAAUCGCGGAUCAGCAUGUCGCGGUGAAUACGUUCGGUCUUGUACACACCGCCCGUCACACCAUGGGAGCGGUUUUACCAGAAGUAGUUGUGGCCGACCCGUAAGGGAGGGCGAUUACCACGGUAGGAUUCAUGACUGGGUGGUGAAGUCGUAACAAGGUAG